The sequence is a small nuclear RNA, 178 nucleotides long. Its record names the gene U2. It matches the Rfam family "U2 spliceosomal RNA". From Rfam's summary of the family: U2 is a small nuclear RNA (snRNA) component of the spliceosome (involved in pre-mRNA splicing). Complementary binding between U2 snRNA (in an area lying towards the 5' end but 3' to hairpin I) and the branchpoint sequence (BPS) of the intron results the bulging out of an unpaired adenosine, on the BPS, which initiates a nucleophilic attack at the intronic 5' splice site, thus starting the first of two transesterification reactions that mediate splicing. The record is from Ensembl.
AUCACUGCACAUAGUUGCACAUUUCUUUUUUCUUGUGAUGAGACCCAUUAUUCUUAAAAGAACAGUCUUCUGUGAAAUUAAAUGGAUUUUUGGAACUAGGAGUUGGAAUAGGAGCUUGCUCUGUCCACUCCAUGCAUCAACCUGGUAUUGCAGUACUUCCAGGAAUGGUGCACCUCCU